RNAcentral lists this ribosomal RNA (253 nucleotides) under uncultured bacterium. RNAcentral describes it as "partial 16S ribosomal RNA". It matches the Rfam family "Bacterial small subunit ribosomal RNA", at positions 524 to 776 of the family's 1533-position model. The record is from RNAcentral.
UACGUAGGGUGCAAGCAUUAAUCGGAGUCAUUGGGCGUAAAGAGCGUGUAGGCGGGAAAGAAAGUUAGAUGCGAAAGCCCGGGGCUCAACUCCGUAACUGCAUCUAAAACUCCUUUUCUAGAGGAUGGACGGAGAAAAUGGAAUUCCACGUGUAGCGGUGAAAUGCGUAGAUAUGUGGAAGAACACCAGUGGCGGAAGCGAUUUUCUAGUUUAGACCUGACGCUGCGGCGCGACAGCUAGGGGAGCAAACAGG